CAUAGAUUGCCAGAUAAGGGUGCAUGCAGUCCAUUGGGGCUGUCUGCUUAAUAGGGAAGUGCGGUUGAAAGCCGACGCGGUCCCACCACUGUAAAUGAAGAGCGACUCUUCACAGAAGCCACUGUCCCGCUCGCGGGAUUGGGAAGGCGAAGAGAAGCGAUGACGCAUGAGCCAGGAGACCUGCCUUUAUCUAGGAUGUUUC
Molecule: non-coding RNA, 202 nt
Filed under: Paenibacillus sp.
Lineage: Bacteria; Bacillati; Bacillota; Bacilli; Caryophanales; Paenibacillaceae
Also listed under: 1 other name
Source: RNAcentral